RNAcentral lists this ribosomal RNA (608 nucleotides) under uncultured bacterium. RNAcentral's name for it is "bacterial SSU rRNA". It matches the Rfam family "Bacterial small subunit ribosomal RNA", at positions 34 to 655 of the family's 1533-position model. The record is from RNAcentral.
UGCUGGCGGCGCGCCUUACACAUGCAAGUCGAACGAGACAUAGGGAGCUUGCUUCCUUGAUCGAGUGGCGAACGGGUGAGUAACGCGUGAGGAACCUGCCUCAAAGAGGGGGACAACAGUUGGAAACGACUGCUAAUACCGCAUAAGCCCACGACCCGGCAUCGGGAAGAGGGAAAAGGAGCAAUCCGCUUUGAGAUGGCCUCGCGUCCGAUUAGCUAGUUGGUGAGGUAACGGCCCACCAAGGCGACGAUCGGUAGCCGGACUGAGAGGUUGAACGGCCACAUUGGGACUGAGACACGGCCCAGACUCCUACGGGAGGCAGCAGUGGGGAAUAUUGCACAAUGGGGGAAACCCUGAUGCAGCGACGCCGCGUGGAGGAAGAAGGUCUUCGGAUUGUAAACUCCUGUUGUUGAGGAAGAUAAUGACGGUACUCAACAAGGAAGUGACGGCUAACUACGUGCCAGCAGCCGCGGUAAAACGUAGGUCACAAGCGUUGUCCGGAAUUACUGGGUGUAAAGGGAGCGCAGGCGGGCGAUCAAGUUGGAAGUGAAAUCCAUGGGCUCAACCCAUGAACUGCUUUCAAAACUGGUCGUCUUGAGUAGUGCAGA